This 270-nucleotide unclassified non-coding RNA is filed under the name Capronia americana. RNAcentral describes it as "Phialophora americana partial internal transcribed spacer region". The stretch from base 1 to 46 matches the Rfam family "Eukaryotic small subunit ribosomal RNA", at positions 1786 to 1831 of the family's 1831-position model. Lineage: Eukaryota; Fungi; Ascomycota; Eurotiomycetes; Chaetothyriales; Herpotrichiellaceae. The record is from RNAcentral.
AAGUCGUAACAAGGUUUCCGUAGGUGAACCUGCGGAAGGAUCAUUAAAGAGUUAGGGUCUCUCCAGGCCCGACCUCCCAACCCUUUGUUUACUUUGCUGCAUGUUGCUUUGGCGGACCCGUCUCACGACCGCCCUGGGACCGCCGAGAGGUGCCCCUGGGCCCGUGUCCGCCGAUAGCCAACCUAAACUCUUGAAUGAAUCGUGUUUUAUGUCUGAGUCUAUUGAUUAAAUCAAAAGCAAAAACUUUCAACAACGGAUCUCUUGGUUCUG